GCCAGGCAUGGUGGCAUGUGCCUGUAGUCCUAGCUACUUGGGAGGCUAAGGUAGGAGGAUUGCUUGAGCCCAGGAAGUUGAGGCUGCAGUGAGCUGUGACUGUGCCACUGCACUCCAGCCUGGGCGACAGAGCGAGACCCUGUCUCAA
Molecule: unclassified non-coding RNA, 148 nt
Organism: Papio anubis (olive baboon)
Lineage: Eukaryota; Metazoa; Chordata; Mammalia; Primates; Cercopithecidae
Rfam family: Metazoan signal recognition particle RNA
About the family: The signal recognition particle (SRP) is a universally conserved ribonucleoprotein. It is involved in the co-translational targeting of proteins to membranes.
Source: Ensembl